This 514-nucleotide ribosomal RNA is filed under the name Phoma sp. MT0818. RNAcentral describes it as "eukaryotic LSU rRNA". It matches the Rfam family "Eukaryotic large subunit ribosomal RNA", at positions 93 to 622 of the family's 3401-position model. Lineage: Eukaryota; Fungi; Ascomycota; Dothideomycetes; Pleosporales; Didymellaceae. The record is from RNAcentral.
GUGAAGCGGCAACAGCUCAAAUUUGAAAUCUGGCGUCUUCGGCGUCCGAGUUGUAAUUUGCAGAGGGCGCUUUGGCAUUGGCAGCGGUCCAAGUUCCUUGGAACAGGACGUCACAGAGGGUGAGAAUCCCGUACGUGGUCGCUAGCCUUUACCGUGUAAAGCCCCUUCGACGAGUCGAGUUGUUUGGGAAUGCAGCUCUAAAUGGGAGGUAAAUUUCUUCUAAAGCUAAAUACUGGCCAGAGACCGAUAGCGCACAAGUAGAGUGAUCGAAAGAUGAAAAGCACUUUGGAAAGAGAGUUAAAAAGCACGUGAAAUUGUUGAAAGGGAAGCGCUUGCAGCCAGACUUGCCUGUAGUUGCUCAUCCGGGUUUCUACCCGGUGCACUCUUCUAUAGGCAGGCCAGCAUCAGUUUGGGCGGUUGGAUAAAGGUCUCUGUCAUGUACCUCUCUUCGGGGAGAACUUAUAGGGGAGACGUCAUGCAACCAGCCUGGACUGAGGUCCGCGCAUCUGCUAGG